Long non-coding RNA from Neomonachus schauinslandi (Hawaiian monk seal), 189 nucleotides. RefSeq lists it as uncharacterized. The record is from RefSeq and is a predicted model, not a curated record. The transcript has 3 exons. NCBI's taxonomy places the organism in Eukaryota, Metazoa, Chordata, Mammalia, Carnivora, Phocidae.
UCCCACACUCAACCAGCUGAGCCACACAGAUCACUUUCUCUGAAGGAAACCAGCUGCUCUACCUUGAGGACACUUGGACGUAACUGUGGAAAGACCCACAUGAUAAGAAACUAAAGCUUCCAGCCAAAAGCAAGCAAGGAAUUGAACUCUUGGUAUCACCAGUUUAUAAAUUAGAGGACUGAAAGCAAG